This 827-nucleotide small RNA is filed under the name Vigna angularis var. angularis. RNAcentral describes it as "Non-protein coding transcript". The record is from RNAcentral. Lineage: Eukaryota; Viridiplantae; Streptophyta; Magnoliopsida; Fabales; Fabaceae.
UGAGGUGAGAGACUUUGGUGGCGGUACAGUUUUAAAAAACUUUAAUUUCAAAUGAUGAUUGAUCUAGUACCGAAAUUUAAAACAUUGUUUUCCCUUAUCUUCAUCCUUUUUAUCCUCGCCAGAAAAACCUAGCUCAAUUUCUCUGUUGCUUCUUACUCGGAUCACCCAACCUUAGAAAAAAGAGGGCGUUUUGCAGUUCGUGGUUUUGGCGGUGGCGAGAAUCUGGACCUCUGACUCAGGGAGAGUUUCUUCCCCUUCCGCCGUGGCACGAGCUCGCGUUGCUAGGAGAGAGACUUUCUCCUCCUCCUCUGGUUGUGGGUUGUUUCGUAGGAGAGAGGCGAACUCUGGCGGCAACAGCACUACACUAGCGUGACAAUGGCACGGCGAGGGCGCGACCUCUUCUCUGUUCGGUUCAUCCGCUAAAAGGAGAAGUAUUGUUCUUCGUGUUGUUUUCUGAUUUGGGGUUGUGGUUUAUGCAGGAAAUUCUCUUCUUCUUCCCAAAAUUCUUUCUGGGAUCAAUUUGGGUGAUUCCUGUUCUUGGGGUUUUGUCGCUUUUCUGCAUCUUGAUGGUCGUGAACUGGGGGUGUGGUUCGCAGGUUGUUGUUCUGAUCUUAAGGAUCAGCUUACGAUGGUGGACACGACGUAGACUUGCAAAGAGACCAAAACAUUAAUAAAAGUAAAAAUAAUAAUAAUAAAAAUUAAAAUAAAUUUUAUAUUUCUUUUAAUCAAAAUUUCCUAAUUAAAAUGUUGUGUUUUGAUUAAAUUAAAGUUUUUUAAAACUAUAAAUAAAAAUAAUUCAUCUAAGUUUAUCACGUCACAAUUUUUAA